RNAcentral lists this ribosomal RNA (253 nucleotides) under uncultured archaeon. RNAcentral describes it as "partial 16S ribosomal RNA". It matches the Rfam family "Archaeal small subunit ribosomal RNA", at positions 474 to 727 of the family's 1478-position model. The record is from RNAcentral.
UACCCGCUCCCCGAGUGGUGGGGACGGUUAUGGGGCCUAAAGCAUCCGUCGCCGGCUGGGUAAGUCCCCCGUUAAAUCUAGCGAUUUAAUCGCUGGACUGCGGGGGAUACUGCCCAGCUAGGGGGCGGGAGAGGCCGGCGGUAUUCCCGGGGUAGGGGUGAAAUCCUAUAAUCCCGGGAGGACCACCAGUGGCGAAGGCUGCCGGCUGGAACGCGCCCGACGGUGAGGGAUGAAAGCUGGGGGAGCGAACCGG